This 53-nucleotide ribosomal RNA is filed under the name Ganoderma ryvardenii. RNAcentral describes it as "partial 26S ribosomal RNA". The record is from RNAcentral. Lineage: Eukaryota; Fungi; Basidiomycota; Agaricomycetes; Polyporales; Polyporaceae.
UGACCUCUGACCUCAAAUCAGGUAGGACUACCCGCUGAACUUAAGCAUAUCAU